UACGAAGGGGGCUAGCGUUGCUCGGAAUCACUGGGCGUAAAGGGUGCGUAGGCGGGUCUUUAAGUCAGGGGUGAAAUCCUGGAGCUCAACUCCAGAACUGCCUUUGAUACUGAAGAUCUUGAGUUCGGGAGAGGUGAGUGGAACUGCGAGUGUAGAGGUGAAAUUCGUAGAUACUCGCAAGAACACCAGUGGCGAAGGCGGCUCACUGGCCCGAUACUGACGCUGAUGCACGAAAGCGUGGGGAGCAAACAGG
Molecule: ribosomal RNA, 253 nt
Filed under: uncultured bacterium
Lineage: Bacteria
Description: partial 16S ribosomal RNA
Rfam family: Bacterial small subunit ribosomal RNA
Source: RNAcentral